AUUGAACGCUGGCGGCAUGCCUUACACAUGCAAGUCGAACGGUAACAGGUCUUCGGAUGCUGACGAGUGGCGAACGGGUGAGUAAUACAUCGGAACUUGCCUAGUAGUGGGGGAUAACUACUCGAAAGAGUGGCUAAUACCGCAUGAGAUCUACGGAUGAAAGCAGGGGAUCGCAAGACCUUGUGCUACUAGAGCGGCCGAUGGCAGAUUAGGUAGUUGGUGGGAUAAAAGCUUACCAAGCCGACGAUCUGUAGCUGGUCUGAGAGGACGAUCAGCCGCACUUGGACUGGGACACGGCCCAGACGCCUACGGGAGGCAGCAGUGGGGAAUUUUGGCCAAUGGGCGAAAGCCUGAUCCAGCAAUGCCGCGUGCAGGAUGAAGGCCUUCGGGUUGUAAACUGCUUUUGUACGGAACGAAAAGCCCCGGGUUAAUACCCUGGGGUCAUGACGGUACCGUAAGAAUAAGCACCGGCUAACUACGUGCCAGCCGCCGCGGUAA
RNAcentral lists this ribosomal RNA (498 nucleotides) under uncultured bacterium. Its description in RNAcentral is "partial 16S ribosomal RNA". It matches the Rfam family "Bacterial small subunit ribosomal RNA", at positions 30 to 523 of the family's 1533-position model. The record is from RNAcentral.